Molecule: non-coding RNA, 23 nt
Filed under: Drosophila melanogaster (fruit fly)
Lineage: Eukaryota; Metazoa; Arthropoda; Insecta; Diptera; Drosophilidae
Also listed under: 11 other names
Source: RNAcentral
UCCGUAGGUGAACCUGCGGAAGG